UCACAAUUUGGUCAUGAAUGGAGUUACCCCAGUCAAAAAAAUGGUCAUAGAAGACUGUUGGAAUUCCAGGAUGUGUGAGUAUGUAUGCAUAACCCUGAGCAAAAUAGAAUGUCAGAGCUAACGUUUGAAUGACAUGAUGAGUAAUUAUUUUUCUGAAUUUGGUUCAGAUAAUGAAGCACAAAUGAGGACUAGGACAUAGAUGUAAUUGCUAAUACUACGUCCACUUAGGUGCAUAAGAUAGUUUGAAAGGUCAUCAAAAACAAAAUCUUCUGGCUUCGAUAUACAUUCAUACCCAGUAGGCAACGUAAGUGAAAAAAAGAGGAUAAACCAAACACAAAGGUUAACAUAGGACAUUUGAUUGUAGGCUAUCCAAUGCAAGCACUUUCUCAGUGAAUUUUACCAACUCCUCAGGUCAGUGAUGGCUUUUGAAAAGUAGUACACAAAAUAACAGGUAAUUAAGAAGCACCCAUACCGCAUGGAACAUAGAUUGACAAAUAAUUAGAAUCAGCACAAAAUGGAUAUCCAGGAGCCUUGCCCAAAAGCCCCAUUACUAAUUUGGAUAGACAGCUAGUCAUUAGAAAAGAGUUGUGAAGUCACCAGUUCAGUUAAACAAUGACGAUGCAAAUCAUUUAAUUUAUGCCAACAAGCUUAAUAUAGAAAAUAACUCAGACAUACCUCCAUAAUAUGAUUUGAAGGGA
This 698-nucleotide unclassified non-coding RNA is filed under the name Hevea brasiliensis (rubber tree). The record is from RNAcentral. Lineage: Eukaryota; Viridiplantae; Streptophyta; Magnoliopsida; Malpighiales; Euphorbiaceae.